AUCUAACUGGUAGGGCAGUUCUCGUCCUGCACUCUGGGACAAGGCCCUGGAACCGGAGUCUAAUACCGGAUACUGACCCGCUUGGGCAUCCAAGCGGUUCGAAAGCUCCGGAGGUGCAGGAUGAGCCCGCGGCCUAUCAGCUUGUUGGUGAGGUAAUGGCUCACCAAGGCGACGACGGGUAGCCGGCCUGAGAGGGCGACCGGCCACACUGGGACUGAGACACGGCCCAGACUCCUACGGGAGGCAGCAGUGGGGAAUAUUGCACAAUGGGCGAAAGCCUGAUGCAGCGACGCCGCGUGAGGGAUGACGGCCUUCGGGUUGUAAACCUCUUUCAGCAGGGAAGAAGCGAAAGUGACGGUACCUGCAGAAGAAGCGCCGGCUAACUACGUGCCAGCAGCCGCGGUAAUACGUAGGGCGCGAGCGUUGUCCGGAAUUAUUGGGCGUAAAGAGCUCGUAGGCGGCUUGUCACGUCGGCUGUGAAAGCCCGGGGCUUAACCCCGGGCCUGCAGUCGAUACGGGCAGGCUAGAGUCCGGACCCGGAGAUCGGAAUUCCUGAUGUAUUGGGUAAAUGCGCAGAUAUCAGGAGGAACACCGUUGCCAAAGGUCGUUUUUCUGUGCCGAUUCCUGAUGCUAUACGAU
RNAcentral lists this ribosomal RNA (639 nucleotides) under Streptomyces albogriseolus. RNAcentral describes it as "bacterial SSU rRNA". It matches the Rfam family "Bacterial small subunit ribosomal RNA", at positions 108 to 753 of the family's 1533-position model. The record is from RNAcentral. Lineage: Bacteria; Bacillati; Actinomycetota; Actinomycetes; Kitasatosporales; Streptomycetaceae.